Molecule: ribosomal RNA, 1542 nt
Filed under: Escherichia coli
Lineage: Bacteria; Pseudomonadati; Pseudomonadota; Gammaproteobacteria; Enterobacterales; Enterobacteriaceae
Description: bacterial SSU rRNA
Rfam family: Bacterial small subunit ribosomal RNA
Source: RNAcentral
AAAUUGAAGAGUUUGAUCAUGGCUCAGAUUGAACGCUGGCGGCAGGCCUAACACAUGCAAGUCGAACGGUAACAGGAAGCAGCUUGCUGCUUCGCUGACGAGUGGCGGACGGGUGAGUAAUGUCUGGGAAACUGCCUGAUGGAGGGGGAUAACUACUGGAAACGGUAGCUAAUACCGCAUAAUGUCGCAAGACCAAAGAGGGGGACCUUCAGGCCUCUUGCCAUCGGAUGUGCCCAGAUGGGAUUAGCUUGUUGGUGGGGUAACGGCUCACCAAGGCGACGAUCCCUAGCUGGUCUGAGAGGAUGACCAGCCACACUGGAACUGAGACACGGUCCAGACUCCUACGGGAGGCAGCAGUGGGGAAUAUUGCACAAUGGGCGCAAGCCUGAUGCAGCCAUGCCGCGUGUAUGAAGAAGGCCUUCGGGUUGUAAAGUACUUUCAGCGGGGAGGAAGGGAGUAAAGUUAAUACCUUUGCUCAUUGACGUUACCCGCAGAAGAAGCACCGGCUAACUCCGUGCCAGCAGCCGCGGUAAUACGGAGGGUGCAAGCGUUAAUCGGAAUUACUGGGCGUAAAGCGCACGCAGGCGGUUUGUUAAGUCAGAUGUGAAAUCCCCGGGCUCAACCUGGGAACUGCAUCUGAUACUGGCAAGCUUGAGUCUCGUAGAGGGGGGUAGAAUUCCAGGUGUAGCGGUGAAAUGCGUAGAGAUCUGGAGGAAUACCGGUGGCGAAGGCGGCCCCCUGGACGAAGACUGACGCUCAGGUGCGAAAGCGUGGGGAGCAAACAGGAUUAGAUACCCUGGUAGUCCACGCCGUAAACGAUGUCGACUUGGAGGUUGUGCCCUUGAGGCGUGGCUUCCGGAGCUAACGCGUUAAGUCGACCGCCUGGGGAGUACGGCCGCAAGGUUAAAACUCAAAUGAAUUGACGGGGGCCCGCACAAGCGGUGGAGCAUGUGGUUUAAUUCGAUGCAACGCGAAGAACCUUACCUGGUCUUGACAUCCACGGAAGUUUUCAGAGAUGAGAAUGUGCCUUCGGGAACCGUGAGACAGGUGCUGCAUGGCUGUCGUCAGCUCGUGUUGUGAAAUGUUGGGUUAAGUCCCGCAACGAGCGCAACCCUUAUCCUUUGUUGCCAGCGGUCCGGCCGGGAACUCAAAGGAGACUGCCAGUGAUAAACUGGAGGAAGGUGGGGAUGACGUCAAGUCAUCAUGGCCCUUACGACCAGGGCUACACACGUGCUACAAUGGCGCAUACAAAGAGAAGCGACCUCGCGAGAGCAAGCGGACCUCAUAAAGUGCGUCGUAGUCCGGAUUGGAGUCUGCAACUCGACUCCAUGAAGUCGGAAUCGCUAGUAAUCGUGGAUCAGAAUGCCACGGUGAAUACGUUCCCGGGCCUUGUACACACCGCCCGUCACACCAUGGGAGUGGGUUGCAAAAGAAGUAGGUAGCUUAACCUUCGGGAGGGCGCUUACCACUUUGUGAUUCAUGACUGGGGUGAAGUCGUAACAAGGUAACCGUAGGGGAACCUGCGGUUGGAUCACCUCCUUA